UACAGAGGGUGCAAGCGUUAAUCGGAAUUACUGGGCGUAAAGCGCGCGUAGGCGGAUUGUUAAGUCGGGGGUGAAAUCCCGGGGCUCAACCCCGGAACUGCCUUCGAUACUGGCAAUCUGGAGUUCGAGAGAGGUGAGUGGAAUUCCGAGUGUAGAGGUGAAAUUCGUAGAUAUUCGGAGGAACACCAGUGGCGAAGGCGGCUCACUGGCUCGAUACUGACGCUGAGGUGCGAAAGCGUGGGGAGCAAACAGG
This 253-nucleotide ribosomal RNA is filed under the name uncultured bacterium. RNAcentral's name for it is "partial 16S ribosomal RNA". It matches the Rfam family "Bacterial small subunit ribosomal RNA", at positions 524 to 776 of the family's 1533-position model. The record is from RNAcentral.